Molecule: ribosomal RNA, 614 nt
Filed under: uncultured bacterium
Lineage: Bacteria
Description: partial 16S ribosomal RNA
Rfam family: Bacterial small subunit ribosomal RNA
Source: RNAcentral
GAGCAGAUGAUUAGAUAAUCACGUAGUACUUGCCCUAUACUACGCAAGUUAGACGAUUGAAGUUCAUUUUCAGUGUCGCAAGCACAGCGAUUGCCCCACCGCCUGGGGGAGUCGGUCUCACAGUUAAAACUUAACCGAAUAGUCGGGGACCCACGCAAGUAAGUGAGCACCUGGUUUAAUUUGAAGAUACGCGCCGAACCUUACCAACCCCUCACAUCUUUAUCACUAUAAAAAAGAUUAAAGUCUUCGGUUAUACCGUAAAAAACACAGGGGCCGCUGGCUGUCGUUAGCAUGGUCAGCUCCAUACGAAUAAGUAGAGCAACGACCGUAACCCUCAAUCUUAUCUCCAUCAGGGUUUGGUGCGGGCAUUUCCUCUGAUCAUUCUAAGCAAGCGGAACUAGUUGAUCACGUCAAAGCUUUUGGUGCGCCAAGGGCUCGACUCCCCCCCUGUCUGAGCGUAUUAACAACAGGAAGCAUAGCGUUUACGUCUUACAACAUUUUGCCGAUUAUCACAAGACAAUUGUCUUAUACCCAGACACAUGAAGUGGGAAUUACUAGUAUUGGUGAACCAGCGGUGCACGGAGAAUGCGUUCCCGGCCCUUUACACUCCGCCC